AUUGAACGCUGGCGGCAGGCCUAACACAUGCAAGUCGAGCGCGAAAGUUCUUCGGAAUGAGUAAAGCGGCGGACGGGUGAGUAAUACAUGGGAAUCUGCCUGGUAGUGGGGGACAACGUUUCGAAAGGAACGCUAAUACCGCAUUCGCCCUACGGGGGAAAGGGGGGGAUCUUCGGACCUCUCGCUAUCAGAUGAGCCCA
Molecule: ribosomal RNA, 200 nt
Filed under: uncultured bacterium
Lineage: Bacteria
Description: partial 16S ribosomal RNA
Rfam family: Bacterial small subunit ribosomal RNA
Source: RNAcentral